RNAcentral lists this ribosomal RNA (516 nucleotides) under uncultured bacterium. Its description in RNAcentral is "bacterial SSU rRNA". It matches the Rfam family "Bacterial small subunit ribosomal RNA", at positions 1 to 507 of the family's 1533-position model. The record is from RNAcentral.
AACGAGGUAGUUCGACUCGUCGCUACGAGACGACGCUGGCGGCGGUGGAUUAGGCAUGCGAAGUCGAACGGUAUCAUCCUUUCGGGGGUGAGAGAGUGGCGAACUGGUGAGUAACACGUAGGUUAUCUACCCUCAAGACGGGGACAACCCAGGGAAACUUGGGCUAAUACCGGAUGUGAGCAACUUUUAGUUGUUUGAAAGGUGGCGUAAGCUGUCGCUUGGGGAUGAGCCUGCGUCCUAUUAGUUAGUUGGUGAGGUAACGGCUCACCUAGGCAAUGAUAGGUAGGCGGCCUUAACGGGUGGUCGCCCACACUGGGAUUGAGAUACGGCCCAGACUCCUACGGGAGGCAGCAGUCGAGAAUAGUCUACAAUGGUCGGAAGACUGAUAGUGCGACGCCGCGUGAACGAUGAAUCCCUUCGGGGUGUAAAGUUCUUUUAUAUGUGAGCAGUGCUUCUUAUAUUAACAGUAUGGGGAGAGAGAUAUUAGCAUAUGAAUAAGCAACGGCUAACUCCGUG